GUCGAACGAUGAAGCCCAGCUUGCUGGGUGGAUUAGUGGCGAACGGGUGAGUAACACGUGAGUAACCUGCCCUUAACUCUGGGAUAAGCCUGGGAAACUGGGUCUAAUACCGGAUAGGAGCGCCUACCGCAUGGUGGGUGUUGGAAAGAUUUAUCGGUUUUGGAUGGACUCGCGGCCUAUCAGCUUGUUGGUGAGGUAAUGGCUCACCAAGGCGACGACGGGUAGCCGGCCUGAGAGGGUGACCGGCCACACUGGGACUGAGACACGGCCCAGACUCCUACGGGAGGCAGCAGUGGGGAAUAUUGCACAAUGGGCGAAAGCCUGAUGCAGCGACGCCGCGUGAGGGAUGACGGCCUUCGGGUUGUAAACCUCUUUCAGUAGGGAAGAAGCGAAAGUGACGGUACCUGCAGAAGAAGCACCGGCUAACUACGUGCCAGCAGCCGCGGUAAUACGUAGGGUGCGAGCGUUAUCCGGAAUUAUUGGGCGUAAAGAGCUCGUAGGCGGUUUGUCGCGUCUGUCGUGAAAGUCCGGGGCUUAACCCCGGAUCUGCGGUGGGUACGGGCAGAC
The sequence is a ribosomal RNA, 567 nucleotides long. It matches the Rfam family "Bacterial small subunit ribosomal RNA", at positions 61 to 641 of the family's 1533-position model.